This 12124-nucleotide long non-coding RNA is filed under the name Daucus carota (carrot). Its description in RNAcentral is "long non-coding RNA (DCAR_LNC006764)". Lineage: Eukaryota; Viridiplantae; Streptophyta; Magnoliopsida; Apiales; Apiaceae. The record is from RNAcentral.
GUCACUACAUAGUUGAUAUGCUUCAAUAUAGAUAGAAAAAAAAGAAAAAAAAAAGAAGAGAGUCACUGGCUACGUGGUUGUAAAGUGGGUAUCGAGGGUAUUCAACAGUUAAUAAGAAAACAAAUAGAUAUAGUAAAAACAAAAGCCCACACGUAUACACAGACAGAGUCGGUGGUUUCGGAGGAGAAAAGAAAAGGGAUUAGGGUUUGAGAAUUCAAUCGAGCGACUACAUCGAAUCAGGUGAGGAUUUGAGCCUUGUCCAUAUGUAAUUAUGUCAGUGUUUAUCUGCUUGCCAUUCGUAUAUAUGUAUUGUUGUGUGUUGACGGAGAUGAUUGGGGGCGUACGGUGGUCGGAGGCUGAGAGGCGGCGGCGAUUUCGCCGGAAGUUGGAAGUUGAGUUUUGAGGAUUGAUUGGCAUCGUUCGGAGUCGAAGGGAGGCGCUGGGUUGUAGACGAAACGACGUCCAGGGGUUGGGGAGACGCAGCAGCGGCAAUGGUUCGCCGGUGGGUUUCGGCGGAUGGAUGGGGCGGCGACUCCGUGGUAUGGAGGUCAGUUCGUAGGGGUUCCGAUCGGGAAAGACAGGGCCAUAUGCAGUCGCCAGCGUGGCUGUGUUCCACAUCCUUUUCAGGCUGAGAAAAGCGUGGUUAGAGAGAGAGAUAUGAGAUGAUUUCCGGAGAAGGUGGGAGGUGGUUGCUGGUGCCAAACCCGAAGGAGGCUGCCGGGUUUGGGUUUUGAAGAAAACUAAAAGAAAAUGUUAGUUUUAUUUUUAUUAUUGAUAUUUUUAUUAUUGUUAUAAUUAGCGAUAAUAAUAAUAUUAAUAAUAUUCAUAAAAUUAAUAAUUAUUUUUGGAGUGCUAUGUUGAAUGCAAAUUGUAUUAUUAUUAUUAUUAUAUGCGUAAUGUUAGAUUCCAGAUUGUUAGUAUUGAAUAUUACGACAAUUGUUUCAGAUUUUGAUUAUGAUUAUAUAAAUAUUGUCUUAAAGGUAUCAAAACUGUUAGUUUUUAAAUGACCACAUGUUUAGUUGGAAAGACUAAUGCUUGGAUGAAUACUGAUAUUGAAUUGUUGUUGACCAUUGGAUUGACCUACUAUCAGAAUCACUAUGAUUUAAUUAUUCGAAUUGAAUAAAAUUCAUAGUUAGAAAGAAUAUCCGGUUUGAUUGAUUUUAUGCGGCACUUAAUAAUUAUUAACACGAAUUGCAUGUUAUAUGCAAUACUUGAUUAUGUGAUACGUGAACUAUGUGACACUGCCAUGAUUAGUAUAAGCGAAUGGGUAGUAUAUAUUAUUACGAGACGUAUGAUUACGUCAAUUGAGUUAACCUGAGUUGUUGAAUCAAUACUUUUUGAACUAUAGAUUCAAGAGUUGAUAGUGACUCCAGGUUCUAAAGCGAAUACCAGUUAGAGUACAACAAAAGGCAAGUAUUUCUAUUUUUCUCUUAUUUGUUAAGAGCAAGUGAUUUUAUUCCACAACUUUUAAUUAUUGCCAAUGCAACUAUUAUAUUCUGUAUUUCAAUUCAUAGAAUAUCAUAUGCUUGGAAUAUAAUUAUUGUUCGGUAUUCCAUUAUAAGAUACACCAUACAGAUACUCAAAUAAUGAUUGAAUUCAAUACAUUCCAAUGAUUGAAUUCACUACAUUCUAGUAAUCAUUCUACUAGAAUUCUCAAUUUAUUUUAGAUAGAUAGUUCAAACUAUUCUAUCCAGAUAUACUCCAUACAGUAUACAUUUUUUAAUUUAUGAUUAGCAAAUAACUAGUUAUUCUAGUUAUGUUGCCAUUAAUUGGGAGAUACUCCGGACCAUGUGACAUGGGGAGUAAUUGAAUAAGGAAGUCGAUUGAUUCGACCCCUUGAAAGAAAAAGAUUUUGAUUGGAUGAAUGCGUAAGAGGCCGUGACGGCGGUCCAGUGAGGGCUAUAUACGUAUUAUAUGAAACAUUAUAAUACCUCUGCGAAAGGCCAAUGUGUUGCCUUAUGUUUGGUACCUAUCGUAACGGAUAUAAUAACCUUUGGUUCCCAUGGGGUAGCCUACAAACAACUUUACUUCUGUACGAGAUUCUAGCUUAGUCGCGUUCUUGUUCAGCACAUGUGCUGGACAACCCCAUAUCCGAAUAUGUCUUAGACUCGGUUUGUCCCCGGUCCACAAUUCCAAAGGGGUUUUAGGAACUGACUUAGAAGGUACUAAGUUCAGAAGAUAAGCUGCUGUCUCUAAGGCAUGUCCCCAAAACAACUUGGGUAAAUCCGAAUAACUCAUCAUCGAUCUAACACUCUCUAAAAGAGUCCGGUUCCUUCUCUCUGCUACACCGUUCUGCUGGGGUCUGCCUGGUGCAGUGAUCGAACGAUCAGAUCGUAGUGACUUGAUACUUUUAUUAUGUCGCUUCUCCGUUUUAGCUUUGUACUCUUUGAAUUUCUCAAAGCACUCAGACUUACGGUGCAACAAAUAAACGUAUCCAUAUCUAGAAUAAUCGUUAAUAAAAGUGACGAAAUACUCAUAACCACCUCUUGCUUGGAUAUUCAUUAGUCCACAUAAAUCAGAGUGAACCAAUCGUAACACUUCUUUGGCUCUAUUCCCCUUUGCCUUGAAAGGCCUAUUGGUCAUUUUACCUUCCAAGCAGGAUUCACAAACUGGAAAUGGCUCCACUGCCAAUGAGCCUAAAGGCCCGUCUACUACCAGUCUUUGAAUCCUCCUCAAGUUAAUAUGACCUAAUCUCAAGUGCCAAAGAUAUGUUUGGUUCAAACUAGAAGGUUCCUUUCUUUUAUUAGAGGUAGAAAAUGUGUUGUUUAAUACCCUAUGUUGUAGUUGCAGUGCAGGUUGACUAGGAUUAAUUAUAUACAAAUUGUCUUGCAAUGUACCAGAACAUAUAAUCCGUUUAUUCAUCAUAAUAGAAACAUUACGAUCCAAACAAACAUUAUAACCAUCCAUAGCAAGUUUAGAAACCGAAAUCAAAUUCCUUCUAAAAGAAGGUACAUAAAGACAAUUGUUCAAAACCAAAAUCCUAUCAGAACCAAAAGAUAAAUGAAUAACUCCUACUGCAACUACUGCUACUUUCGUAGCAUCUCCCAUGAACACGUACAUCUCACCAUCUCUAACCAUUCUGGAUUGCUGGAACCCCUGCAUAGUGUUACAAACAUGAUCAGUGGCUCUCGUAUCUACACACCAAGUGCUCGUAGAUAUAGCCGCUAUAAAUGUUUCCGUAACUAGAGAAAGAGACAUACCAGUAUUGUUUGUCUUCUUAGGAAUAGGACAAUCCUGUUUCCAGUGACCAAAGAGACAUACCAGUAUUGUUUGUCUUCUUAGGAAUAGGACAAUCCUGUUUCCAGUGACCCGACUGCUUGCACCGGUAGCAUUUUCCCUUAGGCUUUUUCACACCACCUUGAACUCCCACUGCCUUCACAGCUUUCUGUGUCGGAGCCUUUUUCUUCUUCUUAUUGCCUUUCGGCUUAGAGGAACAACCUUUCUCAGCCACAUUCACUUGAACACUCUGCCGAAACAAUCCUUCAGCUACCUGAAGUUCUGUCAGCAGUUCUGUAAGACUAUACUGCCUCUUGUUCAUGUUUUAAUUCAAGCGGAACUGCUCAAAACUCUUGGGAAAGCUCAUAAGGACUAUGUCAAUCUGGGUUUUCCCGUCAAGCUCAGCACCAAGGAUCUCUAUCUCAUUCAGAUGUGACAUCAUCUUGAGAACAUGACCCCUUACAGGUGUACCUUCAGCCAUCUGAGUGUUCAUUAAAGCCUUCAUGGCUACUUGCCUAGCAACCCUAUUCUAAUCUCCAAAAAGUUCCUUGAGAUUAAAGAGCAUAUCUGAAGCAGUGGCCAUAGCCUGAUGCUGAUGCUGCAAAACACCCGACAUUGCUGCCAGAAUGUAACAUCGCGACAUCUCAUCAGCCUUUGUCCACCGCUUAUAAUACUCCUUCUCCUCAUCAGGAGCAUCAGCAGCGGGCUGCUCAGGCUUGGGUUCAUAAGUGCAAAACUUGUACUCCUCAGCAGUCAACACAAUGUCCAAAUUACGUUUCCAUUCAAUAUAGUUAGGUCCGGUAAGUUUGUUAUCCUUAAGUAUGGUGAACAGUGGAUUAAAGCCCAUUUUAUCCUGAGAAUCAUGCAUGAAAAAAUCACAUUACACAUAAAGAAGGGUGCAUUAAAAAUUAAGACCUAUUGGUUCCUCUAACAAUUAUUAAAUUAAAUGCACUAACGUUUAAACACCAUAAGUUUCUGAUACGUCACGAUGGGUGACAUGUAUACCACCUAAAUUUGUUUAAACGUUACUUCGGUCCUAUUACUAAACAAUAAGCCACGUUGGGGUGGUCUAUAUUAUUUUUCAUAGCUAAGUGUAUACCAUCAUCAAAUCUUAAAUUAUCCGAAACCUAUGGAACUUGGUACGCCACGAUGGGCGGCAUGUAUACCUUCCAAUAUUCUUUGAAUAGAAUACUUCAAUUCAAUAUUCGUCAAUGGUUUGAUUUUUAGGCAGUGGAGCAGUCACAUCGGUCUUACUUAAUACCCAUAAGCCUUAGAAAUCACCUCAAAUCAGAGAUAAAGAAAAUUCGUAUUUAUUCAUUUUAAUUUAAGAAGUUUGUUCCAAUAAUAUCUAUAACAUUCUAGACACCAUAAAUUACAUGCCAUGAUGGGUGACGUAUAUAUAAUUUAUAUUCGUCUUAUGUUAAAUUACAUACAAACAAUGAUGGAGACCAUGGGAUAUAAUAUCAUAUUAACUCCCUCUCCCACUUAGAAUUGACUUUGAGGAUUUUAAUCUAGAUGCAUCGCCCUAUGUUAGUUCUUCGAAGUCCACAUGCAUACUAUCAUGAUUACAACAAAACAAAGAACACAUAACAUGGCAGCAUACUAGCAUGAUUAAAGCAUUAAUUAAAAACAUCCCUAUGUCCAUGUCAUUCUAGCAUGCGAAGGGUUAGUAUUACAUGGCAUAACAACAGAGAUAAGAAACACAUAAUAACAAUUAUUAAGAAUUAUGUAAAUCAUAAUAAAACACAUCCACUAUUAUGGCCCUGGAAAAAAUAGCUUCGAAUUCAUCCUUCGAAAAAUUGCGGAAAACUUCAAGAGCCCGUUUAGAGGCUUAAAUGGCCUCAGAAUGCCUCGAAAAAUUCCGAAAAACAGCCUCGAAAACAUCCCAACCAGGCUUGUCUUGGAUGUAUCUAGGUCCGUCUCGUUCUGCCGGCUCCUAAAAGUGCUUAUUCGCCCAAAUCGGACAUCGUAUGCAAAAGUUACGGCCAAAACAGUGCAGCACCCCCGAAAACAGAUCGCAGCAGCGGAAGAUCUCUAUUUCUUGCAGCCCCGUUGAUCAAACAAUUACAUACAAAAUGUACAGACGAACCAGCCUAUUCUAUUACAUCAGAUCAUAAUCUAAAACAAUUACCAAAUUGAAUUACAAGAUUAAACUAUCACGAUCAACCCUCGUGAUUUACAACAGCCACGAUAAACCACGUGGAAUCCAAACAUAACAGAAUAAAAACACGGCCGUAAUAGUGGAUAACAACCUGCAUCACAGAACCACUAUAUACAUGCAUAUAUAAUCAUGACAUGGACUACAUAUCAUAAAUCGCAGAACCGCAACCUGGCUCUGAUGCCAUUGAAGGAACAAUCGGACCUUGGCCCUGCGUUUUAUGAUACUAAUUAAAAGUUCGAACAGAAUAUUAACCUUAAUCGCUACGGCGCAAGCGAUUCAAAUCCAUGUGUUCUACUGUAUUCUCUGAUUCUCCUUGGACGAAGUGUGGCCUUCGAUCUCCCAAGGUGUGCCUCUCCUUAAAGCUCCGAAAACCCAAAACCCUAGCUGUCUCCUUGAGAAAAACGUCUGCCUCUCUCAGACUCUAGGAUGAAUUCGUUUUGGUGUGUCUUUCAUCUUUAGGAGAACGAGAAUAUAUAUAGGCUACAGUAGGGAUCAUGGACCAUUAGGUCAGGCCUUCCAAUGACAUUCCGGGCCAGGCCCAAUGUCAUUAAAUAUUAAUUCAAUCCACUAAGGAAUUAAUAUUUGCACUACCUUUCCUAAUUCCGUAAAUUAAUUAUUUAAUUCGGCUCCCAUAUUAAUUGCUUAUAAAUUCCCCAUGUUUAAGAUAUCGCAUGUCCAUUAAUUAAAUUAAUUUCUGACAAUUAAUUUAAUCAAUAUCUUUUAUCCUUGAUCAUCCACUCAACCUUAUAAUUAUGCAAGAACAAAUCUGCCUGCAGGACUAAAGCAUAAUUAUCUUUAUGAGCUUUCAAGAGGACAUCAUCACCCGAAUAUAUUUUUCGGACACGGUUUCCUUUUAUAGUCAAUAUCCCACUCUGUAUAUAAUGUCAUUGCCCAAUACAUAAAUUCGUAAUUUAAAAUAAAUUACUUAAUUUAUGAGUCAAGGCAUGUGCAUUAAAUACAAGUGUCAAUCACUAUAUCCGGAUUAAGAACUUAAGCAUUAAUAACAUCAUAGAAUCUUAGUUCUUUAUCGUCAGAAUUAAAGAAACAAUUAUUCUACUAUUUUGAUCCCAUUCAAUAUACACAAAGUAUAUAAGUAUUAUUCAAUAGUCAAGAUAAAUUAUUUCCAAAUAAUACUUCAGCCAUUCCAGUGGUUUGUCUAACACCACCUCGACUGUGAACCUUUAUUAUAUUAUAUAAGGAGUCUGACAAUCUAAUCUUCUGCUAUCCCAUUUGAUACUAGAUUGUCUACAAUAUAUAAUAUACAGACAAUGUGAAAACAUGCAUUGAAGAUUCUCAAAUAAUUGUUAUAUACUUCAAACGAAUAUUUCAGUACAACCCUAACACUUACACCAGCAUGAGGAUCACCAAUAAUAAGAUCAAAGGGAUGAUCUCUGCUCAAAAUCCUUCCCUNNNNNNNNNNNNNNNNNNNNNNNGGAGAUAUGUAUCAUUAAGAAAACAUGCAUUCAAGAUUCUCAAAUAAUUUUUAUAUACUUCAAACGGAUAUUUCAGUAUAACCCUAACAGAAGGAUCAUCAUAGAAGAUAUUGCUAUAGUUGAAGGACUUCAACAUAAUCUCCUGAGUGUUAGUCAGUUUUGUGACAAAGGAUAUUAUGUUCGCUUUGAAAAGGAGAUAUGUAUCAUUAAACAUAUCAAGGAUAAGCGUCCUUCACUCUGUGGCAUAAGGAAAGGUAACAUAUACGUAGCUAAUUUGUCUUCAGGAUCAGGAAAUGCAGUUCACUGUUUCUACGCAAAGGCGUCUGCUGAAGAUAGUUGGUUAUGGCAUAAGAAGCUCUCACACCUCAACCUCAAAACUAUGAACUCUCUAGUCAAGAGAGAUCUGGUGAGAGGUUUGCCUUUCCUGGAAUCCUCAACUGAUGAUCUCUGUGAAGCUUGUGAGAAAGGAAAAGCGAAGAGAGCAUCUCACAAAGGCAAAGUCAUCAAUACUAUUACAGAUCCACUCCAUUUACUGCAUAUGGAUUUGUUUGGCCCCGUGAAUGUCACAUCAAUUAAUGGAGAAAGAUAUUCCUUGGUCAUUGUGGAUGACUUCUCGAAAUAUACUUGGGUUCACUUCCUGACUUCUAAGGAUGAAACUCCGAUCAUAGUUAUUGAUCAUAUAAAGCAAGUUGAAUUGGAAAAGGGUGUGCCAGUGAAAUCUAUAAGGUCAGAUAAUGGCAUGGAAUUCAAGAAUCAAACUCUAAUAAACUUUUACUCUGAAAAGGGAAUUAGAAGGCAGUAUUCAACACCAAGGACUCCUCAACAGAAUGAAGUCGUCGAAAGAAAGAAUCGUACAUUAAUUGAAGCUGCAAGAACAAUGAUUGUUGAAGCAAAGCUUCCACUGUACUUUUGGGCUGAAGCUGUGACUACUGCCUGCUAUACCCAGAAUCGAACGUUGAUCAAUAAGGAUCAUAUGAGAACUCCAUUUUAGCCGUAUAACAACAAGAAACCAUAUGUCAAGCAUCUUCAUGUCUUUGGAGCUAAGUGCUGUGUUCUCAAAGAUGGAGAAGAGAACUUGAACAAGUUUGAGCCCAAGGCAUCUGAAGCCAUUUUUGUUGGUUAUACAAAUAAUGCUUAUAGAGUUUUUGUAAUUGAUACUCUGUCAGUGAAAGUUAGUGUCAAUGUUACAUUUGAUGACACUAAACUUCCAAGUCUGCAAUCUGCUAAUCCUUCUGAGUCUCUGAAGUUUGAUAACUAUCCAGAUUCUGAUUCAGAUGAUGAUGUGCCACCUGAGGCUGCAGCAGGUGAUGACAACAAUGAUGAUAAUGAUCUAGGCAAUGGUGAAAAAAGUGGCAAUAAUGCUGGAGAUUCCACUAAUGCUAGUGGUGGAUCAACAAGUCAACGUGGCAGCAACUCAAGGGGAGCUGGUGGAUCAACUAGUCACACAAUUCAGCUUACGGACAAUACAGCUGAAUCAUCAAGGACACAACUUCCAAGGGAAAGGAUUUGGAGCAGAGAUCAUCCCUUUGAUCUUAUUAUUAGUGAUCCUGAUGCUGGUGUAAGGACUAGAAGUGCUACGACAAAUGAAUAUCUAUUCUCUGGUUUUGUAUCACAAUUAGAACCAAAGAAAGUGGAUGAAGCACUUGCUGAUCCUGAUUGGGUUCUUGCCAUGCAAGAAGAACUCAAUCAAUUUGAGAGACAAGAAGUCUGGGCCCUAUUUCCAAGGCCAAAAGGAAAGUCUACAAUUGGAACUAGAUGGGUCUUCUAUAACAAGUUAGAUGGUGAUGGCAUUGCUGUAAGAAACAAAACCAGACUGGUCGCAAAUGGGUAUUCUCAAGAAGAAGGAAUUGAUUAUGAUGAAUCCUAUGCUCCAAUUGCUCGUCUUGAAGCCAUCAGAAUAUUUCUUGCAUUUGCUGCACAUUCCAACUUCAAGGUUUAUCAGGUGGAUGUGAAAAGUGCAUUUCUGAAUGGAAAGCUCGAAGAAGAAGUAUAUCUGGAACAGCCCCCUGGCUUUGAAAAUCCAGAAUUUGCUGAUUUUGUGUACUUCCUAUUCAAAGCUGUCUAUGGGCUUAAGCAGUCACCAAGGACAUGGUAUGACACCCUCUCUGAAUUUUUAAUUGAAAAUAAAUUUACUAGAGGUGUCAUAGACAAAACUCUCUUUUACAAAUUGCAUGAUAAUGAUAUGAUAUUUGUUCAAAUAUAUGUUGAUGAUAUUAUAUUUGGUUCUACUAAUGAUAACUUGUGCAAGAGGUUUGCUAAGUUAAUGUAGAGCAAUUAUGAAAUGAGUAUGAUGGGUGACCUAUCCUACUUUCUUGGUCUUCAAGUAAGCCAAAAGGAAGAUGGCAUUUUCAUUUUCCAAUCAAAGUAUGUCAGAGAUCUUCUGCGAAAGUACAAUCUGGAAGUCUCUUCUCCGGCAAAGACACCCAUGGCCACUGCCACAAAGCUUGACCAGGAUAAAUCUGGUAAGAAAGUUGAUAUCACAAGCUAUCGAGGUAUGAUUGGCUCUUUACUUUAUCUUACUGCAAGUAGACCAGAUAUCAUGUUUGCAACAUGUGUGUGUGCUAGGUUCCAAGCUGAUCCUAAAGAAUCACAUCUUAUAGCCGUCAAAAGAAUCUUUAGAUAUCUUAAGGGUACACCUGGUUUAGGUAUUUGGUACCCUAAGAAUACUGGUUUUGACUUAACCGGCUAUACAAAUUCUGAUUAUGCAGGAUGCAGGAUUGAUCGGAAAAGUACGUCUGGAAGCUGUCAAUUUCUAGGACGUCGAUUGGUUUCCUAGUACAGCAAGAAGCAGCACUUAGUGUCUACUUCUACUUCUGAAGCUGAGUAUAUAGCUGCUGGAAGCUGCUGUGCUCAGAUACUGUGGAUCAGAAACCAACUGAAUGAUUAUGGGAUUUUUGUCGACAAAAUUCCAAUAUUUUGUGACAACACAAGUGCCAUAGCCAUUUCCAACAAUCCGGUUCAACAUUCCAGAACCAAGCACAUAGAUAUCAUGUAUCAUUUUAUUCGAGAACAUGUCAUGAAUGAUACAGUGGUGUUACAUUUUGUACCCACGGCAGAUCAAAUCGCUGACAUCUUCACUAAACGACUUGAUGAAUCCACUUUCUCUAAGUUGGUUUGAGCUAGGGAUGUUAAAUAUGACAUGAUUCUCACUGUAUAUAUUUUUAAUAUGCUUUAUAUAUUUUUAUAUAAUUUUGUGAAUUUUCUAUGUAAUUAUAGGUAUUUUAUUAGAUUUUAUAUGAUUGUCUGUAUAUUAUUUGAUAAUUAUAUGUGUAAUUAUGCAUGUUUAUAUGUUUAUCUGUAAUAUUUCUAAAUGCCUGCAUACUCCCCUGUAUUAUUCUCUAAGCAUUUAGAUAAUUAUUUGUAUAUAUUUUGUAUUUUUCAAAAUUAAUUAAGCAUAAAUAUUUGAAUUUAAGUUAAUUCAUUUUUAUAAAUUAAAGUUAAGUUCAUAAGUAUUUAUAUUUAAUUAAAGUUGAAUUUUACAAAUUAUAUGUGUAAUAUUUAAUAAUGUUUUUAUAUUAGAUUUUUGAUUUAAUGUGCAAAAACGUUUUAUUUCUUAAAAAUAAAUCAAAAAUCACAUAUUACAUAAUUUUCUUUUAUUUUCUUUUUUGAAAACUCGGCAAGACAAUUCCAGUAAUUGUCUUACCGCAUUUUUCAAGCUUUUUUCUUUUAUUUUUCAACUGAUUAUUCAGUUAAUUAUGUGGCAAGACAAUUUCAGCAAUUGUCUUACCGAUUUUUUUAUAUAUUUUUCUUUUAAAUUUUGGCAAGACAAUUGUCCCAAUUGUCUUACCGAGACUCUCAUCUGGCUUCUCUCAUACGCCUCCCAACAACGGCAAGACAAUUCGAUAGAUAUUCUUACCGAGUAAAACUCGGCAAGACAAUCUCACCAAUUGUCUUACCGAAUUCAAAAACCCCCAAGACAAUACAUAUAAUUGUCUUACCCAUUCCUUAUACAUCUUCUUCACCAUUUUCACGCCUAUACACACAAAUAUACACGCACUUCACUUCAGUUUUUCAAGUUUUGUAUCAUAAACUUGCGGUUUCUUGUUUUCAAGUGUCAUACAACCUGCUUGUUUGGAUUUUAAGCCCGAAAUCUACCGAAGUACUGCCCGUUUUUAUACUCGAUUUCUCCGUGUUUUUGGAACUGAUUUCACCGUUUUGGGGGUUAAAUCGACUGAUUUGUACUGGUUUGUUGGGUGUUAGCGUGCUUUCGACUUAUUCUCAUCGAGUUUGGCCGAUUAUUUGUUGAUUUCGAAAAGUUUAAAUCAAAACCCUCUUUUGUGUUCUUGGAGAUUUUGGGGUAUUUCGAAUUUUGGGGAUUAUUUUGAUUAUUUGGAGACUAUUUGGAACCCUUGCAUUGAUUUUGGACUUGAAUAUGAAUCCGUUAAAGUUAAUUAAAUUUUAAUUCGGAAUUAAUUAAUAUUUCGAAUUAUUAAUUAAUUAAUUAGUCGUUAAAUUAAUUAUUGUGACACAUCAUUUAGUGAACUUGAGUCCCUUUGACAUAUUUCAAUAAAAUGAGAUUGAACCUUUUCCGGCAUCCAUGUUAUAAAUCAAAAUGAAUAAUAAAAUGUUUUCUUUAGUGAUUUGGACUAGACGCAAGUCUUUUUCACAUUUUAUUAGGCUCACAUAUAGCCUAGGGAUCCCAUUAUAUUUGAGAACCCAGUGCGAUUCGGGAUUACUUCGUGGCUGAUCACCGGCUGUAAUCCGUAGCGUCCUAUAAUGAAUUUUGAUGAUGAUAUGAUUAUAAAAUGUUGCCAUAUUGCCAUGAUGCCAUGAUUUCUAUACCAUGAUUAUAUAUGUGUUUUGCCAUGCCUAUUCAUUAUAUUAUCAUGACCCUUAAUGAUUGCUUUAUCAUUUAUUCUUGGUUCUGUUUCGGACACCUUUGAUAUUAUUAUAAUGCCAUGUGUUUAGGACUGUUAGUACUUGCUGAGUGUCUUUGCUCAUUUUCACGUAUUUAACCCUUUUUACAGCUAGCAACUAUAGUACGCACGAAGCAAACCGCACGUAAGUCGACCACUGGUUACGCCGAGAACUGUUUGAGGGUGAAGGUAGUUAUAUAUGAAGGUAGUCAAUUCUGUCCAAAUGUCAUUCGGUAUUUAUGAAAGUAUACGUGUCAUGAUCUUAUUGGAGGUUUUAUUAGGAAAUCUAUCGUUUUGUGGUUUAAGUGUAAGUGAAUAUGCGAAAAGAAAGGUACUAAUACGAUCGGUAAUUUAUAUCAAGGUAUUUGCGAAUAUAAUAGGCAUGGUGAUUAUUCCAACUAAAUAUUCAUAAGGAUUUAAGAGUCACAGGUACACAUAUAUUAGCAACAAUUGUAAAG